RNAcentral lists this ribosomal RNA (142 nucleotides) under uncultured bacterium. Its description in RNAcentral is "partial 16S rRNA". It matches the Rfam family "Bacterial small subunit ribosomal RNA", at positions 355 to 511 of the family's 1533-position model. The record is from RNAcentral.
UGGGGAAUUUUCCGCAAUGGGCGAAAGGCCUGACGGAGCAAUGCCGCGUGGAGGCGGAAGGCCUACGGGUCGUCAACUUCUUUUCUCGGAGAAGAAACAAUGACGGUAUCUGAGGAAUAAGCAUCGGCUAACUCUGUGUCAG